AAAAUAAUACUCAUUGUGAGCCGUCUUGAUGAGCCCGGUGACAUAGAAGCUCAAGCUCCAGCAGCAGCAGCUAGGAACUUGGAUUGGGCAAAGAUUGUUGUGGUGUAUUGCUUGUCAACCGGAGUUGCCAUGGCUCUCAUACACACCCAAGUUCGCCCCAGCAAGCUCCCUCUAAGCUUUUUCUUUCUCGGACUGGCAGUCCUACUCGCCUUUGCGUGCAUCAUGGUAAGCAAAUUUGUUCAGCACUCCAAAUGUCCAAGAAUAACACUUCAUCUCUUCCAUUUCUUUGGGAUAUUUUUCGGAGUCACCGCCUUCUUCAUUUCCAUUACAAUCCCUUUUCCUCUCUGGUUUAAAUGUACUGCAUCUGUCAUCUAUUUGGCCUCAGGCCUUGUAGUCAUAUUUUGCCAUCACUUCUAUAAUUAA
Molecule: long non-coding RNA, 423 nt
Filed under: Prunus dulcis (almond)
Lineage: Eukaryota; Viridiplantae; Streptophyta; Magnoliopsida; Rosales; Rosaceae
Description: sRNA ncRNA
Source: RNAcentral